GGGAGGGGGAUAACCCCGGGAAACUGGGGCUAAACCCCCAUAGGGGAUGGGUGGUGGAAUUCCCCCAUCCCCGAAAGUGUGCCACUCCCGUAAGGGGUGGCACAGCCCGAGGAUGGGGCUGCGGCGGAUUAGGUAGUUGGCGGGGUAACGGCCCGCCAAGCCGAAGAUCCGUACGGGCCAUGAGAGUGGGAGCCCGGAGAUGGACCCUGAGACAAGGGUCCAGGCCCUACGGGGCGCACCAGGCGCGAAACCUCCGCAAUGCGGGAAACCGCGACGGGGUCAGCCGGAGUGCCCGCGCAUCGCGCGGGCUGUCGGGGUGCCUAAAAAGCACCCCACAGCAAGGGCCGGGCAAGGCCGGUGGCAGCCGCCGCGGUAAUACCGGCGGCCCGAGUGGCGGCCACUAUUAUUGGGCCUAAAGCGUCCGUAGCCGGGCUGGUAAGUCCCCCGGGAAAUCUGGCGGCUUAACCGUCAGAAUUCCGGGGGAUACUGCCAGCCUAGGGACCGGGAGAGGCCGGGGGAAUUCCCGGGGUAGGGGUGAAAUCCUAUAAUCCCGGGAGGACCACCUGUGGCGAAGGCGCCCGGCUGGAACGGGUCCGACGGUGAGGGACGAAGGCCAGGGGAGCGAACCGGAUUAGAUACCCGGGUAGUCCUGGCUGUAAACGAUGCGGGCUAGGUGUCGGGCCAGCUACGAGCUGGCCCGGUGCCGGAGGGAAGCCGUUAAGCCCGCCGCCUGGGGAGUACGGCCGCAAGGCUGAAACUUAAAGGAAUUGGCGGGGGAGCACGACAACGGGUGGAGCCUGCGGUUUAAUUGGAUUCAACGCCGGGAAGCUUACCGGGGGAGACAGCUCGAUGAAGGUCGGGCUAAG
Molecule: ribosomal RNA, 866 nt
Filed under: Archaeoglobus profundus
Lineage: Archaea; Methanobacteriati; Methanobacteriota; Archaeoglobi; Archaeoglobales; Archaeoglobaceae
Description: bacterial SSU rRNA
Rfam family: Archaeal small subunit ribosomal RNA
Source: RNAcentral